GAGUUUGAUCCUGGCUCAGGACGAACGCUGGCGGCGUGCUUAACACAUGCAAGUCGAACGGAAAGGCCCUGCUUUUGUGGGGUGCUCGAGUGGCGAACGGGUGAGUAACACGUGAGUAACCUGCCCUUGACUUUGGGAUAACUUCAGGAAACUGGGGCUAAUACCGGAUAGGAGCUCCUGCUGCAUGGUGGGGGUUGGAAAGUUUCGGCGGUUGGGGAUGGACUCGCGGCUUAUCAGCUUGUUGGUGGGGUAGUGGCUUACCAAGGCUUUGACGGGUAGCCGGCCUGAGAGGGUGACCGGCCACAUUGGGACUGAGAUACGGCCCAGACUCCUACGGGAGGCAGCAGUGGGGAAUAUUGCACAAUGGGCGGAAGCCUGAUGCAGCAACGCCGCGUGCGGGAUGACGGCCUUCGGGUUGUAAACCGCUUUCGCCUGUGACGAAGCGUGAGUGACGGUAAUGGGUAAAGAAGCACCGGCUAACUACGUGCCAGCAGCCGCGGUAC
Molecule: ribosomal RNA, 503 nt
Filed under: uncultured bacterium
Lineage: Bacteria
Description: bacterial SSU rRNA
Rfam family: Bacterial small subunit ribosomal RNA
Source: RNAcentral